CAGGGGGCCCCCUCCGCCCCACGCUCCCUGGUGGCCGCGUCAUUCCUCCUCAAGCCGAGUGAGGAGGGCAGGGAAAGUCACCCCGGCUGCUGCCCCCAUCUCGUCCCACGAUGUAGGUCUAGAAUCGCAUCCUGACUCCUCAAGUUUCCCAUCGCGCUCCUUCUUCAGCUUCACUGCUCAGCCCCGACCUGGCUUUCUGCCCCAUCGCUGUGCCCUCUGACCCCCAGCCCCUCCGACAAGCACCGAGGCUCCGCCCUCUGUCCGAGGCCCUGUGAGCACGGCGCGGGAAGUCAGCAGGGUGGGGCGGCUGCCCCUCGGUGCCAGGGCAUGGGAGCCUCAGGUGGGGCUACUACAAAGUGCGACUGGGGCGGAGGCGCCGAGAAGCCACGCGGGCUCCUGUUCCCGGACCGCACCGCUGGGGCGAGGCUACCGAGUCACCACGACCCCCAGGCCAGCCCAGGCCACGGGUGACUCCUGGGGGCUGCCCGCGGCCCGCCCGCCCGCCUGGGGAGGAACCCAGAGGAGCCCCGUG
This 532-nucleotide long non-coding RNA is filed under the name Homo sapiens (human). RNAcentral's name for it is "HSALNT0026989". The record is from RNAcentral. Lineage: Eukaryota; Metazoa; Chordata; Mammalia; Primates; Hominidae.